CGUAGCGUGUGAGAAGCUCAAUUUCUCGAACAGCUUUUUACUUUUUAGUUCCAAACUAUACUUUCGAAACGCAGUAAUUUUAUAUUAGAUUUUUUACUUGGAAAUUAUGAAAUUAAAAACGCUUACGAAUACUAGGAGUAUUUAUUUAAAGUAUUCAUUAAUAUAUAAAUGACGAAAAAGUUAAGAAUUUGCAUUUUAUAGCCUACUCUGUCUUAGGUAUCUAUGUAUGAAAUAUUUACUUUCCUAAAAAUCGUUCUUUGAUUUGGCUGAAUGAUACAAGCAUAUGCCUAGAAAAAAAUAGUUUAAAAGCAAAUCAGCCCGCCCUUUUGAAAUAACUUCUAACAUUAUUUAAACACAUUAACGCAUAUAAAUAUAUAAUUUGGUACGAGAAGAAGAAGAAAAAUAUUGAAAAUGAGUGAUUCAAACAUUGAUAUGACACCACCAGACAUUCGUGCUAGAGCAGCAAUUGCCAAUGACUGUGUUAUUCCAGAAAAAUCUAAAAACCAAUAUAAUGCCGUCUAUGUAAAAUUUAUCGAGUGGAAAACCUUACAUAACGCAAAGUCUUUUUCAGAGACUGUUUUGAUGGCCUAUUUUCAAGAGCUGUCUGAAACCUAUCGGCCAUCAACAUUAUGGUCAAAAUAUUCUAUGUUGAAAGCUGUUAUAAAGUUAAAACAUGACAUAGAUAUAAAAACUUACACCAGAUUGACUGCUUUCUUAAAAAGGCAAAGUGCAGGAUUUCAGAGUAAAAAAUCGAAGGUACUAACAGCUGAACAAAUUGAGACGUUUAUUAAUGAAGCUCCAGAUCAGCAACAUCUAGCUACAAAGGUUGCUCUUUUAUUUGGAGUCUGUGGCGCAUGCAGACGCGAAUCAGUAAAAGUAUCAGUAAAAGAUAUAGAAACACAUGGGGACAUACUUCUUGUCAAAAUACCAAAUACAAAAAAUAAAAUUCCCAGGUCCUUCACUAUUGACGGCCCAUUUGCAGAAAUAGUCAAGAAAUAUCAGAGUCUGCGGUCUUCUAAGGGCAAAAGUGACCGUUUCUUUAAGAAUUUUCAAAGAGGAAGGUGCACUGCCCAUUUUUAAACAAGUUUGGGAAUAUGCCGAGAGAUAUCGCUCAGUACUUAAAUUUGCCUGAUGCAAAUCUUUACACCGGACAUGCAUUUAGGAGAACCUCUGCUACAUUACUUGCCGACUCAGGAGCAGACAUAACAACUUUGAAGAGGCAUGGAGGUUGGCGGUCAAGUAAUGUAGCAGAAGGAUACAUAGAAAACU
Molecule: long non-coding RNA, 1269 nt
Organism: Cydia strobilella
Lineage: Eukaryota; Metazoa; Arthropoda; Insecta; Lepidoptera; Tortricidae
Exons: 2
Source: RefSeq, a predicted model, not a curated record